AACAAACGCUGGCGGCGGGCCUAAUACAUGCAAGUCGAACGGGGAAAGCUUUCGGGUGAGUACUAGUGGCGCCGGGGUGAGGAACGCGUGGAUAAUCUGCCUUAGGGUGGGGGUUAAUUAGUCGAAAGAUUAGCUAAUACCGCAUAAGACCACGAAGGCUGCGGCUUUUGAGGUCAAAGGUUUUUCGCUCUAAGAUGAGUCCGCGUAAGAUUAGCUAGUUGGUGAGGUAACGGCUCACCAAGGCGACGAUCUUUAACUGGUCUGAGAGGAUGAUCAGUCACACUGGAACUGAGACACGGUCCAGACUCCUGCGGGAGGCAGCAGUAGGGAAUAUUGCACAAUGGAGGAAACUCUGAUGCAGCGACGCCGCGUGAGUGAUGAAGGCCUUCGGGUCGUAAAGCUCUGUCGCAGGGGAAUAACACAAUGAAGGUACCCUGUAAGAAAGGAUCGGCUAACUUCGUG
Molecule: ribosomal RNA, 462 nt
Filed under: uncultured bacterium
Lineage: Bacteria
Description: partial 16S ribosomal RNA
Rfam family: Bacterial small subunit ribosomal RNA
Source: RNAcentral